CUUAAAUGGAUUUCUUCGGAUUGAAGUUUUUGUGACUGAGUGGCGGACGGGUGAGUAACGCGUGGGUAACCUGCCUCAUACAGGGGGAUAACAGUUAGAAAUAGCUGCUAAUACCGCAUAAGCGCACGGUUCCGCAUGGAACAGUGUGAAAAACUCCGGUGGUGUGAGAUGGACCCGCGUCUGAUUAGCCAGUUGGCGGGGUAACGGCCCACCAAAGCGACGAUCAGUAGCCGGCCUGAGAGGGUGAACGGCCACAUUGGGACUGAGACACGGCCCAAACUCC
Molecule: ribosomal RNA, 283 nt
Filed under: uncultured Eubacteriales bacterium
Lineage: Bacteria; Bacillati; Bacillota; Clostridia; Eubacteriales
Description: uncultured Clostridiales bacterium partial 16S ribosomal RNA
Rfam family: Bacterial small subunit ribosomal RNA (bases 45-283)
Source: RNAcentral